AGCUCUUCGGAACUUGACUUAGUGGCGAACGGGUGAGUAACGCGUGAGGAACCUGCCUUUCAGCGGGGGACAACAGUUGGAAACGACUGCUAAUACCGCAUGAUGCUUUUGGGAGACAUCUCCUGGAAGCCAAAGCUUUAUGUGCUGAAAGAUGGCCUCGCGUCUGAUUAGCUAGUUGGUGAGGUAACGGCUCACCAAGGCGACGAUCAGUAGCCGGUCUGAGAGGAUGAACGGCCACAUUGGGACUGAGAUACGGCCCAGACUCCUACGGGAGGCAGCAGUGGGGAAUAUUGGGCAAUGGGGGAAACCCUGACCCAGCAACGCCGCGUGAAGGAAGAAGGCCUUCGGGUUGUAAACUUCUUUUACCAGGGACGAAGGACGUGACGGUACCUGGAGAAAAAGCAACGGCUAACUACGUGCCAGCAGCCGCGGUAAUACGUAGGUUGCAAGCGUUGUCCGGAUUUACUGGGUGUAAAGGGCGUGUAGGCGGAGAUGCAAGUUGGGAGUGAAAUCCAUGGGCUCAACCCAUGAACUGCUCUCAAAACUGUAUCCCUUGAGUAUCGGAGAGGCAAGCGGAAUUCCUAGUGUAGCGGUGAAAUGCGUAGAUAUUAGGAGGAACACCAGUGGCGAA
RNAcentral lists this ribosomal RNA (631 nucleotides) under uncultured bacterium. Its description in RNAcentral is "bacterial SSU rRNA". It matches the Rfam family "Bacterial small subunit ribosomal RNA", at positions 74 to 719 of the family's 1533-position model. The record is from RNAcentral.